Molecule: non-coding RNA, 2458 nt
Organism: Equus caballus (horse)
Lineage: Eukaryota; Metazoa; Chordata; Mammalia; Perissodactyla; Equidae
Source: RefSeq, a predicted model, not a curated record
CGUUCGAUUCGCCGCCGGCGCCCGGGCCCCGCCUCGCCGGCGCCAUGGCUCCGCCUCCGCCCUCCCCCUCCAUGGCGCCGCCCGGGCCCAUUCAUUCCGCGCCCGGCCUGCCGGACACCUGCGCCCUCCUUCAGCCGCCUGCCGCCGCCGCAGCCGCCAGCAUGUCGGGCCCCGCCGCCGAGACCCCGUCCGCCAUCCAGAUCUGCCGGAUCAUGCGGCCAGACGAUGCCAACGUGGCCGGCAACGUCCAUGGGGGAACCAUCCUGAAGAUGAUCGAGGAGGCGGGGGCCAUCAUCAGCACCCGGCACUGUAACAGUCAGAAUGGGGAGCGCUGCGUGGCUGCCCUGGCCCGGGUCGAGCGCACUGACUUCCUGUCACCCAUGUGCAUUGGCGAGGUGGCCCACGUCAGCGCGGGGAUCACCUACACCUCCAAGCACUCCGUGGAAGUACAGGUCAACGUGAUGUCCGAAAACAUCCUCACAGGUACCAAGAAGCUGACCAAUAAGGCCACGCUGUGGUAUGUGCCCCUGUCGCUGAAGAACGUGGACAAGGUCCUGGAGGUGCCUCCAGUCGUGUAUUCCCGGCAGGAGCAAGAGGAGGAAGGCCGAAAGCGGUAUGAGGCCCAGAAACUGGAGCGCAUGGAGACCAAGUGGAGGAAUGGCGACAUCGUCCAGCCCGUGCUGAACCCAGAGCCGAACACGGUCAGCUACAGCCAGUCCAGCUUGAUCCACCUGGUGGGGCCUUCGGACUGCACGCUGCAUGGCUUUGUGCAUGGAGGUGUCACCAUGAAGCUCAUGGAUGAGGUGGCUGGGAUCGUAGCUGCUCGUCACUGCAAGACCAACAUAGUCACGGCUUCCGUGGACGCCAUUAACUUUCAUGACAAGAUCAGAAAAGAAUUGGCCGUAUCCGACAUGAAGGAGUCCCUGGUGUGUCAUCACCAUCUCUGGGCGCAUGACCUUCACAAGCAACAAGUCCAUGGAAAUCGAGGUCCUGGUGGAUGCUGACCCUGUGGUGGACAACUCGCAGAAGCGCUACCGGGCUGCCAGCGCCUUCUUCACCUACGUGUCCCUGAGCCAGGAGGGCAAGCCACUGCCCGUGCCCCAGCUCGUGCCUGGGUGUGGGAAGCCUCUUCAGUCUCCAGGAACGUGAGAACCGAGUCGUGUCUGUUGAAGCCAGAGCGAGCGCCGUCCCUGGUGCAACACCUGCCCCUUCUCUGCUUCAGACGUGGUGCUGCAGCCCCUGAGGGCCCCAGGGAAACCCCGGGUGUCAUUGGAGCCCGUGUGAGAACGGAGGUGUUAGCAUCCUGGACUUGCAUGAGGAGGAAGUGUGUAGACGCCAGGCAGAGUAGGGGAGGGGUCACCCCCACCCUGGACACGGGGGCUGCCUGGAACACAUCCCAAGCACAUAGUCGAUGCGGGUUUUGAGAGUGCUAAUACAGCUGCUUCUGUGGAUUGUUUGGAAAAUGAAUGUUUUCUCUGAUGGGCUGAGGCCCAACUGCACAGCCACAUCGUUUGGGGACAGUGGGGCAGUCACUGCUCCCAGAAGACCCAAACUGAAGAGCAAGCCUGCCCCAUCGUGGAGGGUCUUGGCUGGUCCUUGGGGAACCUAGUGCAGGACCCUGAGCCCCUUGGCCAUGGCUGGCCCCUUCCCAUCUCUGAGCCUCAGUUUCCCCACUGGAGCCAUCACAGGCCAGGCAGUUGCUCUCUGAGGCUCCUCUCCGUGCUGUCUCAGUGAUGAUCUAACCAGAAGGCUCCUCACUCCUUUGCCCUGAAGAGGAAGCACAGAGACAAGGCUUUCAGCAGUGGUCAGCUCCCUGCUCCCCAGGACCCGAGCCUGACCCUAAGCACAGGGCGUGGAGGGAGGACCCGAGGCCCCAUUCCUCACGAUGAAGCAUCAGCAGCCAGACCUCCUCUACACAUCCCAAAAGGCAAGAGGAAUGCACAUCCCGCCCCCAGGAUGUUGGAAAGGGGUCCACACAUCAGGCAUGUCAUGGGCUGGGGACCCCAGGUGGCUUCCCGGCUUAGGGAGAUGCCUCAGGUGUCCUGGACACUUGAGUGCCACAGGCUCCUCCAAUGAGAGGGCCACGCCUCAUCCUAGGGAAUCUUGUGACCAAGAGAACAUUAAGAGCACUUUGUGGCCCUUUUGCUUAGCCUCUGGGAUCGUGUCCCAGGACAUGACGCUGCCACACCAGUUGCUUUAUGGUCACAGCACUUUGUGUCUGCUUCCUGCAUUGGUUUAGCCGAAGGUAAACUUUUGGAGUGAUUUUUAAUUGCUGCCUAAUUAAGAAAUUCAGAUGUACUGGAGUGUAACAGGAUUGAGGUGUCUCUUCCUGGAAGAGUUUGGGAAGCCACAUUAGCGAGGGAAGCUGUGCCCCCCACUGUUCCUCUUUGCUGCCAGCCCACAGAGGUGAGUCGGGAACCAGAAUAUUCCUGAAGCUUCUUUUUUUUUUUUUUUUUUU